RNAcentral lists this long non-coding RNA (1422 nucleotides) under Canis lupus familiaris (dog). Its description in RNAcentral is "lncRNA (ENSCAFG00040002704.1)". Lineage: Eukaryota; Metazoa; Chordata; Mammalia; Carnivora; Canidae. The record is from RNAcentral.
ACCCUCUUCUGAAGAGAACAGGUUCCUGGGGGCGGUUGCCCCUUGGAGGGAGGACUGGGGAGCCUCAAGGGGAAGGCGGUUGAUAGCAUCAAUGACAGUGACCUCCCGCGGGUAGGUUCCUGGUAAAAUGACCCAGAUUUCCCAGAAAGUUCUGCUGGUGGCGGGAUACAGCCUUGGAAACGUCUUGCAGGGCGUGGAGCCCCUGCAGGGACCCUGAAGAGGGGGCUCCUGUCCCAGCCUCCUGUGGGCCACCCACACCCCCUACUCUGGUGGAGGAGGGACACCUCCCUGACCGUAGCAAUAGGGCCCUGGGGCAUGUUUGGGGGAGGGGUGAGAGGUCGCCAUUGACUGGGGAGCCAGGCCCUCUCCCGGGGGAGGGGGAGGCAGGCCUGGAUCUGAGGGCAUUGGAGCCCUGGGGCCUGACCGCAGGCAUUUGCCCCUGCCCCAUACAGGUGGAAGGGAGUCCCAGGUGAGGUGUGGACCUGGGGAGCACCGAGCCACUCGGAGCCACCGCUGCCCCAUGGAGGACGCAGGCCCUCCAGAGGGGCCAAUCUGGGAGAGGCUGGGCAGUACGGGGUGCUGAGGCCCUCCCCGACCCCAAGCCCCUGGGAAGCCUCUGGCCCCCUCCCCCUUGGGGCCCGGGGCAGGCACCCUUUCUGACACCAGGGAGGAGAUCUGGCUGUUUGGGGCCGGCGUCUGGCAGGCCCCGCAUGCCUCGGCGUGUACCUGAGCUUAUUUCGCGUGAUCAUCGACUUAGCAUUUGCGGGGGCUCAGACGAGGGCCCGGGGCUGGGGCGGGCGGGGGUCGCUCCCUGCUCACCACCAUGUCUGUAGGCUCUGCUGUGAUGUCUCACAGGCGGGGUCAGAAUGCUUUAGAACCCUGUCCAUUCACACUUCUCUUCUACAAACUGAAACAGUGGUUUUGGUGCACAAACAGCAGCACUAUCCGUGACAGCCCAUAGACCCUUGCACGGACACGCUGAGGUCCUGCCACAUGACGGGAGUGACUCCCAGACAUGCCCCACCGCGUGGACCUGCCCGGGGCAUGUGCCGCUCGGAGACAGGAGCCACACGGCACCGUGUGAUUCUGUUUCUAUGAAACGCCCGGCAGAGGCAGACCCAGGCUCAGAGGGCAGACCUGGGGUCACCGGGGCUGGGGAAGGGUCGGGGUCUCUCUGGGGGUAACGAGAAGGUUCUGGAACGAGGUAGAGGGGGCGGUUGCCCUGCACUGUAAAUGUGCAAAAUGCCACUGAGUUAUUCACUUUAAAAUGAUGAAUUUCAUGUUAUAUGCAUUUUACCUAAAUUGUUUAAAGGGGUAUUUUUAUGAGAAUCCACGAAACCAACAGAUUUACCUCACGUUGCGCACACUCCCGGGCACACCGCGUGCACACGGCGUGCACACGCCGCGGCCGGUGCCUCACGC